GAUGAACGCUGGCGGCGUGCCUAAUACAUGCAAGUCGAGCGAACAGACGAGGAGCUUGCUCCUCUGACGUUAGCGGCGGACGGGUGAGUAACACGUGGAUAACCUACCUAUAAGACUGGGAUAACUUCGGGAAACCGGAGCUAAUACCGGAUAAUAUAUUGAACCGCAUGGUUCAAUAGUGAAAGACGGUUUUGCUGUCACUUAUAGAUGGAUCCGCGCCGCAUUAGCUAGUUGGUAAGGUAACGGCUUACCAAGGCGACGAUGCGUAGCCGACCUGAGAGGGUGAUCCGCCACCCUGGAACUGAGACACGGUCCAGACUCCUAAGGGAGGCAGCAGUAGGGAAUCAUCCGAAAUGGGCGAAAGCCUGACGGCGCAACGCCGCGGGAGGGAUGAAGGUCUUCGGAUCGUAAAACUCUGUUAGUAGGGAAGAACAAAUGUGUAAGUAACUAUGCACGUCUUGACGGUACCUAAUCAGAAAGCCACGGCUAACUACGUG
Molecule: ribosomal RNA, 497 nt
Filed under: uncultured bacterium
Lineage: Bacteria
Description: partial 16S ribosomal RNA
Rfam family: Bacterial small subunit ribosomal RNA
Source: RNAcentral